Molecule: ribosomal RNA, 561 nt
Filed under: uncultured bacterium
Lineage: Bacteria
Description: bacterial SSU rRNA
Rfam family: Bacterial small subunit ribosomal RNA
Source: RNAcentral
CCUACGGGAGGCAGCAGUGGGGAAUAUUGGACAAUGGGCGAAAGCCUGAUCCAGCAAUGCCGCGUGAGUGAUGAAGGCCUUAGGGUUGUAAAGCUCUUUUACCAGGGAUGAUAAUGACAGUACCUGGAGAAUAAGCUCCGGCUAACUCCGUGCCAGCAGCCGCGGUAAUACGGAGGGAGCUAGCGUUGUUCGGAAUUACUGGGCGUAAAGCGUGCGUAGGCGGUGAUUCAAGUCAGAGGUGAAAGCCUGGAGCUCAACUCCAGAACGGCCUUUGAAACUAGAUCGCUAGAAUUAUGGAGAGGUAAGUGGAAUUCCGAGUGUAGAGGUGAAAUUCGUAGAUAUUCGGAAGAACACCAGUGGCGAAGGCGACUUACUGGACAUAUAUUGACGCUGAGGUACGAAAGCGUGGGGAGCAAACAGGAUUAGAUACCCUGGUAGUCCACGCCGUAAACGAUGAUAACUAGCUGUUCGGGCUCUCAGAGCUUGAGUGGCGCAGCUAACGCAUUAAGUUAUCCGCCUGGGGAGUACGGUCGCAAGNUUAAAACUUAAUGAAUUGACCGG